Molecule: unclassified non-coding RNA, 348 nt
Filed under: soil metagenome
Description: partial contains 5.8S ribosomal RNA, internal transcribed spacer 2, and large subunit ribosomal RNA
Rfam family: 5.8S ribosomal RNA (bases 1-120)
Source: RNAcentral
GAUGAAGAACGUAGCGAAAUGCGAUAAGUAGUGUGAAUUGCAGAAUUCAGUGAAUCAUCGAAUCUUUGAACGCACAUUGCGCCCUCUGGUAUUCCGGAGGGCAUGCCUGUUCGAGCGUCAUUAAAACUACUCAAGCUAAGGUUUUACCUUCUGCUUGGUCUUGGGUUUGAGGAUUCAAAAUCCUCUCUCCGAAAUCCAGUGGCGAAUUGUUUGAGCUGUAGACGUAGUAAUUCAUUCUACCCGUUGCAAGCGAGAAUAAUAUUCAGCCAUAACCCCCAUACUUUUCUAGUUUGACCUCGGAUCAGGUAGGGAUACCCGCUGAACUUAAGCAUAUCAAUAAGCGGAGGA